This 786-nucleotide ribosomal RNA is filed under the name Triticum aestivum (bread wheat). Its description in RNAcentral is "partial small subunit ribosomal RNA". The record is from RNAcentral. Lineage: Eukaryota; Viridiplantae; Streptophyta; Magnoliopsida; Poales; Poaceae.
AUGGUGGCUGUGGAUGCCUCCACAGGGGUGAUGAACGCCCUCCUGUGCAAGCUCUCCAAGCUGCUGGAGGACGAGUACUCCAGGCUCAAAGGCGUGCGCCGUCAGAUAACUUUCCUGAGGGACGAGCUGAGCAGCAUGAACGCCGUGCUGGAGACGCUCGCCGACGCGGAGCAGCUCGACCCUCUCAAGAGGGAAUGGCGGGACAAGGUGCGCGAGCUCUCCUACGACAUAGAGGAUUGCAUCGACGACUUCGUGGACCGCGGCGAGGAGCUGCGGACAGGCCUCAAGGGGUUCUUCAGCAAGCUGAGGAAGCUCAAGGCCCGCCGCGAGAUCGCCGGCGAGAUAGAGCAGCUCAAGAUCCGCACCAUCGAGGCGAGCGAGAGGCGCAGGAGGUAUGACUUUCUUGAGCCGGCCCAGAGUUCUCGCUUCUUCUGCGUCGACCCUCGGCUGCCGGCGCUGUACGAGGAUGCGGCUAGGCUUGUGGGCAUCGAUGGCCCCAAGGAGCAUAUCCUUGGCUGGUUCUGCAAGGAGAAGGAGCAUGAUGACCUCAGGGUGUUGCCGAUUGUGGGUUCCGGAGGCCUUGGCAAGACCACUCUUGCAAACCAAGUGUACUGUCAGUUAAAAGGCCAAUUUCAGUGCACAGCUUUUGUGUCGGUGUCUCGGAAUCCAAACAUGCAGAAGAUUUUACGGCAAAUGCUCACGGAGUUUGGGAUCAGCGGUGGUGCACUGGAUGAGGAACGGCAACUCAUCGACAGGAUAAGAGACCACCUCAAAGAUAAAAGGUAA